This 70-nucleotide transfer RNA is filed under the name Clostridia bacterium. RNAcentral describes it as "tRNA-Pro". It matches the Rfam family "tRNA". Rfam says of the family: Transfer RNA (tRNA) molecules are approximately 80 nucleotides in length. The record is from RNAcentral. Lineage: Bacteria; Bacillati; Bacillota; Clostridia.
CGAGGCGGCGGGUAAGCGCGUUUGGUUAGGGACCAAAAGGUCGUGGGUUCAAGUCCCGUCGUCUCAACCA